GAUGAACGCUGGCGGCGUGCCUAAUACAUGCAAGUCGAGCGAACGGACGCUAAUCUUGCUUCUCUGAUGUUAGCGGCGGACGGGUGAGUAACACGUGGAUACCCCACCUAUAUGACUGGUAUAACUUCGGGAAACCGGAGCUAAUACCGGAUAAUAUUUUGAUCCGCAUGGUUCAAAAGAGAAAUACGGCCUUUCUGUCUCUUCUAGCUGCUUCCGGGCUGCAUUGGCUAGUUGGUAAGGUAACGGCUUACCAAGGCAACGAUGCCUGGCCGACCUGAGAGGGGGAUCGGCCACACUGGAACUGAGACACGGUCCAGACUCCUACGGGAGGCAGCAGUAGGGAAUCUUCCGCAAUGGGCGAAAGCCUGACGGAGCAACGCCGCGUGAGUGAUGAAGGUGUUCGGAUCGUAAAACUCUGUUAUGAGUGAAGAACAUAUGUGUAAGUAACUGUGCACAUCUUGACGGUACCUAAUCAGAAAGCAACGGCUAACUACGUG
This 497-nucleotide ribosomal RNA is filed under the name uncultured bacterium. Its description in RNAcentral is "partial 16S ribosomal RNA". It matches the Rfam family "Bacterial small subunit ribosomal RNA", at positions 28 to 507 of the family's 1533-position model. The record is from RNAcentral.